RNAcentral lists this ribosomal RNA (882 nucleotides) under Triticum aestivum (bread wheat). RNAcentral's name for it is "partial small subunit ribosomal RNA". The record is from RNAcentral. Lineage: Eukaryota; Viridiplantae; Streptophyta; Magnoliopsida; Poales; Poaceae.
AUGGGAGAGGGAGACCACGAGGCGCACGGGGACGACAUGGAGAGGAAGGCGGACAAGAAGCUCUCCGGCUGGGGGCUCUUCGGCUCCCAGUACGACGCCGCCGCCGAUCUCUACUACGGGGCCGCAACCUUCUUCAAGCUCGCAAAGAGCUGGAGCAGAGCCGCAUCCGUGUACACCAAGAUCGCCAACUGCCAUCUGAAGCUCGAUAGCAAGGACGAAGCCGCCUCGGCCUAUGCGGACGCCGCAAACUGCUACAAGAAGUUCUCGCCCCAUGAAGCCGCGCGAGCGCUGGACCAGGCCGUCGUUCUCUUCCUGGAAGUCCGCAGGCUGGCCAUGGCCGCAAGAUACUGCAGGGACGCUGGUGUGAUAUAUCAGCAAGAAAAGGAUCUGGCGAUGGCUUCAGAUUACCUAGAGAGGGCCGCCGAUCUGUUCGACGACGAGGGGCAGACGUGUCAGUCGAACGCCAUCAAGCAUGAAAUCGCGGAGAUCGCCGCGAAGCUGGGGCGGUACCCGAAGGCAGCCGAGAUUUUUGAAGAGAUUGCUCGUCAAUCAAUCAAGAGCAAGCUGCUGAAGUAUAGCGUGAGAGCCGUCCUCCUCAAUGCAGGCAUCUGCCAGCUAUGCAUAGCCGAUGGUGUCGCUAUGCAAAAGUCGUUUGCGCGGUACCAGGAAAUCGAUCCGACUUUCUGGGGAACUCGUGAACACAAACUUUUAGCUGAUCUUGCUGCAUCAAUGGACUACGGAGAUGUCGCCAGAUUUACCGAUGCCGUCAGGGAAUUCGACGUCGUGACACGUGUGGAUCCUUGGAGAACGAUACUGCUGCUGAGGGCAAAGGAUGAGCUGGAGAAACAGGAGAAUGACGACGAUGAGGAUGAUCUAACCUAA